GCAAGUCGAACGCCCAUCUUCGGAUGGGAGUGGCGGACCGGUGAGUAACGCGUGGGAACCUGCCCUGAGGUCUGGGACAACCGUGGGAAACCGCGGCUAAUACCGGAUGUCUCCUACGGGAGAAAGGCUUGCCGCCUUGGGAGGAGCCCGCGUUGGAUUAGCUUGUCGGCGGGGUAAUGGCCUACCAAGGCUGCGAUCCAUAGCUGGUCUGAGAGGAUGAUC
Molecule: ribosomal RNA, 222 nt
Filed under: uncultured bacterium
Lineage: Bacteria
Description: partial 16S ribosomal RNA
Rfam family: Bacterial small subunit ribosomal RNA
Source: RNAcentral